GGUUGUAGCUCAGUGGUAGAGCACUUACCAAGCAUGCAUGAGGCACUGGGUUCGAUCCCGGCACCA
Molecule: transfer RNA, 66 nt
Filed under: Marmota monax (woodchuck)
Lineage: Eukaryota; Metazoa; Chordata; Mammalia; Rodentia; Sciuridae
Description: tRNA.Ala
Source: RNAcentral